CCUACGGGAGACAGCAGUGAGGAAUAUUGGUCAAUGGCCGGAAGGCUGAACCAGCCAUGCCGCGUGAAGGUCAGUGCCCUAUGGGCGUUAAACUUCUUUUGUGCGGGAGCAAUAAUGGUCACGUGUGGCCAGACGAGAGUACCGUACGAAUAAGCAUCGGCUAACUACGUGCCAGCAGCCGCGGUAAUCCGGGGGUGGCAGGCGUUAUCCGGAUUUAUUGGGCUUAAAGGGUGCGUAGGUUGUGAGGUAAGUCAGCGGUGAAAUGCCCCCGCGCAACGGGGUGAAGUGCCAUUGAUACUGCCUUGCUGGACUGCGCAUGCAGUGGGAGGAAUGUGUGGUGUAGCGGUGAAAUGCAUAGAUAUCACACAGAACACCGAUUGCGAAGGCAUCUCACGAAUCCGCGAUUGACGCUGAUGCACGAAAGCGUGGGUAUCAAACAGGAUUAGAUACCCGUGUAGUC
This 460-nucleotide ribosomal RNA is filed under the name uncultured bacterium. RNAcentral describes it as "partial 16S ribosomal RNA". It matches the Rfam family "Bacterial small subunit ribosomal RNA", at positions 338 to 795 of the family's 1533-position model. The record is from RNAcentral.